Aedes aegypti (yellow fever mosquito) is the source of this 117-nucleotide non-coding RNA. Lineage: Eukaryota; Metazoa; Arthropoda; Insecta; Diptera; Culicidae. The record is from Rfam.
UGCCCAGCAACUCUUAUCCCUACCUCCUCGCGGUACUGGCCGGGGUACGAGUAACCUUAGGGAAGAUCGGGUAACCAACCCCCGGUGGGAACUUUGGUCGUAUGCUGACAGGGAAGG